ACAAAGCCCGGGCCCCGUCAGCCAAUGGGAGCCGAGAGUGGGUGCGGGGGGUGUGGCAAGGCAGAGGGACACUGGGAGUGGCGGUUGUUUCAAGAUGGCGGAUGUGGCUGGUCGCUGGACUACCGAUGAUUGUCAAGGAGAUCUACAAUCAUCUCCCCAACAUCGCAGAUGCCUGCACAAAAGAAGAGGCUCUUGCAGCUAUUGUCCACCUCGCUGCAAAGCGGCUCAUCCCCAUUGUGGACUGUCUAUUGGACUGCUCAAUGGACUCCGAUGAGUAAGGAUCUCUAAGAGAUGACUGUGUGACGGGGGAUUGAUCCAUUUUGCCUGCAAAUCUCAGGACGUCUCAGAUGCCCUGCAUAACCUCGAUCCGCCAAGCCAGGCCACAGCCCAUCAGCCAUGGAUGGAGAUUUCCCAACUCUCUGGCAUCUCCCAGGUUUUUGAAGUAGAGCUGCCAACUAUUUGCCCCCUGGAAGCUGCUUGCUCUGCAGGAAUCGGACUUUCUUCCACGCUGUCAAAAGCAUUACCUACUGCGGAUCAAACUUCUGUUCAAGAUUCAGGUGGAAGUCAUGCUAGGUUUCCCACACAUACACCUUCUGGACAGUUGGGAAGGAUGGGAAACAAAUUCAGUUCAGGUCACUUUUAAGUGAGAACCUACAUCAUUUACAGUUUCCAAACAAAAGCAGCAGACGUAGACUGAGGCAAGGGGCUGGGCUCCUCCUCUGAGCCUGCCUGGCCUGUCGCUCAACAACGUGCAGGUCUCUCCUCAAGAGGGAUGUCAGGGGGGAGGAGAGCCAGCAGGACUGGGACUGCCCAGCCACUGAGUAGCAGAUGCAAUCUCACUCCUCUCUGUCUGAGUCUGCGCUCACACGGAGACUCUCAACCUCCAGACUUGUCCUGGAGGUUUUCAUACCUCAUACCUGGAGGAUUUUUCAUACCAAGUGGGCCACAAGAGUAAUUCAACACAGAACCUGUGGGCUGCACACUGUGGGAGAGGGGAGCGAGGCCAAAAUUUGACACACACACCCCGGCCUUCAUGCUGCCUUCCCAAAGGUAGACAAGUGAGGCUCUGGGUUUUGGGAAGGAGGCAUGAGGGAUCUGUCAGGGUCCUAGAAUCCACCAGCUUCCUUCCCAAAGCCUAGUUAGCUCUUUCCCAGCUUUGGGAAGAAAGUGGGAAGGCUCUAGGUCCUGCCAGAGCCUUGUGCCUCCUUUCCAAAACCCAGAGCCUCACUUGUGUGUCAAAUUUUGGCCUCGCUCCCCUCUCCCACAGUGUGCAGCCCACAGGUUCUGUGUUGAAUUACUCUUGUGGCCCACUUGGUAUGAAAAAUUGGAGCACCCUGGUUUAGAUGGUGUAUAUUUCUGCUCUGGUGCCUUUGGGUGAGGGAUGGAUUACAAAUACUUCCAGUGAAUAAAUGAUGCAUUUUAAUGCAUUUUAGCGUUUAAUGAAGCCAAGAACUGUAUCACGUUUCAAAGGUGUCAAAAUGCAAGGCAUACUUGCAUUGCAAGCUGCACAUGAGUCUGGGAGGUGUGGUCUGGUCAGUUCACAUCAGAAUCCACAGAAAUACUGUUCUUCAAACCACCUCUAUUAUUAUCCAGGAUGGAAGGAUCUGUCCAAAUUGGUUCUCUAAGUGUCUCAUUUCUCCACUCUUAAAUUUGGUUCCUCACAUUUUGCAGCAAUCUGCUUACAGAAUCACAUUUAUCCUCCAGCCCUCAUGAUCACUGAUUGCAAUAAAUAAAAUGACAUGUUUGACGUGCAUCUUUCUACCUAGGGAAUUUCAGAGGCCGUUGGUAUGGCUUCCCACUGCCAUUUCUCUCAGACGCUGACGGCAGUAAGGGAUUUCGGCUAUGUAGCCAUUUCAAGGAAGACUGAGAGUAAGGGUGUCAAGUGAGGAAGGAGCAGAGCAAGAAUGUAGGUCAGCCACCCCCAUCGGUCUGGCCUCCUACUGCCACCUAUGCCAAAUAUUAAGUACCCUGAAGGAUUUUGGCCACUCCAUCUGUGAGGUAAGGGUGUCAAGGGAGGAGGGAGCAUUGCAAGAGGGAGGUCAGCCACCCCCAGCCUGGUGCCCCUUCCCCACCCAUGUGUUUUGAACUGGAACUCCCAUCAGCCCCAGACAGCAUGGCCAAUGGUUAGACACGAUGGGAGUUGUAGCACAACAAUAUCUGAAUGGCACCAGGUUGAGAAGAUCCUGACAGAUUGGGUCCUUAGCUGCUAUUUACAUUCACACCAAAGCCUCUGGGUUUCCUAUUAUCUUCAAAAACAGAGCUGUGUUGGAAGAGAAUGAAUCCUGCCCCAGGGUUCUGUCUUGGGCCUGUUGUUGUUCACCUUUUUAAAAUUAAAUGACUUGGACGAAGGAAUUGAGGGGAUUAGCCAAUGCCGCAGAAGACAGAAUCGGGAUUCAAGAUGACCAUAACAGAUUGGAAAACUGGGUCCAAACUUACAAAACGAAAUGCAGCAGGGACAAAUGUCAGGUUUUACAUUUAGGCAGGAAGAACCAAAUGCAUAAAUAUAGGAUGGGGAACAUGUUACCUGCCAGUAGUAUGAGUUUCCUGGAGGGGAAAAAUGAAUCUUGUAAGUCUGCACAACAACUCUGCCACUUACAGACUACUAAUAUUUUCCCAACUGCUAAAAGGUCCCAACUGAAUGGUGACUUCUUCCUACUGCACUUAAGGUUCCCAAACACACUUUCCUCAACCUUUCCCUCCAGACUACGGUCGAGAGUAAUGCCUGUAACAUCCUUUCCUGUGGAAAAACAGCUCUUGGGGCGAGGCAAGAUCUGUUGCCCUACAUUAAGAUCAUUCUGACAGAGGUCCUCUUCCAGUUCUGUAGCGUCAGUAAGGAAGCUAUCGAAGAGGAGCCGCUAGCGCCUUUCACCAGCGAAAGCCUUCGCCAAGCCUUGGACACCAUCACCUGCAUCACCUAAGUACGAGGAGGUACAUCUCAGUCUCCCUACAGCUUGUCACUGCCCCACCUAUUCCUGGCAGGGUACUGCAUCCUUUGCUCGUUCCUCAAACAGAAUCUGGCUGCUAUGGAUGCACAACCUCACUGUAUCUUCACACAAGUCAGUCGACUGCAAGGGAUUCCUGCAAGGGAGCAUAGAUUUGAUACUGCAUGUGUGUGUGUGUGUG
Zootoca vivipara (common lizard) is the source of this 3123-nucleotide non-coding RNA. The record is from RefSeq and is a predicted model, not a curated record. NCBI's taxonomy places the organism in Eukaryota, Metazoa, Chordata, Lepidosauria, Squamata, Lacertidae.